RNAcentral lists this transfer RNA (73 nucleotides) under Candidatus Pacearchaeota archaeon. Its description in RNAcentral is "tRNA-Glu". It matches the Rfam family "tRNA". Rfam says of the family: Transfer RNA (tRNA) molecules are approximately 80 nucleotides in length. Their secondary structure includes four short double-helical elements and three loops (D, anti-codon, and T loops). The record is from RNAcentral. Lineage: Archaea; Nanobdellati.
GCCCCUAUAGUCUAGUGGUCAAGGACGUCGCCCUCUCGCGGCGGAAACCCGAGUUCAAAUCUCGGUGGGGGCA